GAUGAAGAACGCAGCGAAAUGCGAUAAGUAAUGUGAAUUGCAGAAUUCAGUGAAUCAUCGAAUCUUUGAACGCACAUUGCGCCCGCCAGUAUUCUGGCGGGCAUGCCUGUUCGAGCGUCAUUUCAACCCUCAAGCCCCCGGGCUUGGUGUUGGGGAUCGGCGAGCCUCCGCGCCCGCCGUCCCCUAAAUCUAGUGGCGGUCUCGCUGUAGCUUCCUCUGCGUAGUAGCACACCUCGCACUGGGAAACAGCGCGGCCACGCCGUUAAACCCCCAACUUCUGAACGUUUGACCUCGGAUCAGGUAGGAAUACCCGCUGAACUUAAGCAUAUCAAUAAGCGGAGGA
RNAcentral lists this unclassified non-coding RNA (343 nucleotides) under soil metagenome. RNAcentral describes it as "partial contains 5.8S ribosomal RNA, internal transcribed spacer 2, and large subunit ribosomal RNA". The stretch from base 1 to 120 matches the Rfam family "5.8S ribosomal RNA", at positions 35 to 154 of the family's 154-position model. The record is from RNAcentral.